AGUUCUCAACCACAUUGAAUAUUUUUUGGUGUGGCUUGGUUAUUGGAAGCUUUGCAGGUCCAUAUUCUAUAUGGAUCUGCUCUUCUAAAAUGCAUUAGUGGUAUCUGAGCAGUAGCUACUACAGAUGUGAUAAUAUUUUUCUACAUCUUUGGUCACGCUGCAUAAACAGAUUAUACUGCUUCUAAAAGUGAAUGUAUUGUGAUUU
Molecule: unclassified non-coding RNA, 205 nt
Filed under: uncultured Inocybaceae
Lineage: Eukaryota; Fungi; Basidiomycota; Agaricomycetes; Agaricales
Description: sequence contains ITS2
Source: RNAcentral